This 290-nucleotide ribosomal RNA is filed under the name uncultured Flavobacteriaceae bacterium. Its description in RNAcentral is "partial 16S ribosomal RNA". It matches the Rfam family "Bacterial small subunit ribosomal RNA", at positions 1 to 297 of the family's 1533-position model. Lineage: Bacteria; Pseudomonadati; Bacteroidota; Flavobacteriia; Flavobacteriales; Flavobacteriaceae. The record is from RNAcentral.
CGCUGAGUUUGAUCCUGGCUCAGGAUGAACGCUAGUGGCAGGCUUAACACAUGCAAGUCGAGGGGUAUAGUUCUUCGGAGCUAGAGACCGGCGCACGGGUGCGUAACGCGUAUGCAAUCUACCUUUUACAGAGGGAUAGCCCAGAGAAAUUUGGAUUAAUACCUCAUAGUAUGUGAGAAUCGCAUGGUUUUCACAUUAAAAGUUCCAACGGUAAAAGAUGAGCAUGCGUCCCAUUAGCUAGAUGGUAAGGUAACGGCUUACCAUGGCAACGAUGGGUAGGGGUCCUGAGA